This 467-nucleotide ribosomal RNA is filed under the name uncultured bacterium. Its description in RNAcentral is "partial 16S ribosomal RNA". It matches the Rfam family "Bacterial small subunit ribosomal RNA", at positions 28 to 506 of the family's 1533-position model. The record is from RNAcentral.
GACGAACGCUGGCGGCGUGCUUAACACAUGCAAGUCGAACGGAAAGGCCCUGCUUUUGUGGGGUGCUCGAGUGGCGAACGGGUGAGUAACACGUGAGUAACCUGCCCUUGACUUUGGGAUAACUUCAGGAAACUGGGGCUAAUACCGGAUAGGAGCUCCUGCUGCAUGGUGGGGGUUGGAAAGUUUCGGCGGUUGGGGAUGGACUCGCGGCUUAUCAGCUUGUUGGUGGGGUAGUGGCUUACCAAGGCUUUGACGGGUAGCCGGCCUGAGAGGGUGACCGGCAACAUUGGGACUGGGAUACGGCCCAGACUCCUACGGGAGGCAGCGGUGGGGAAUAUUGCACAAUGGGCGGAAGCCUGAUGCAGCAACGCCGCGUGCGGGAUGACGGCCUUCGGGUUGUAAACCGCUUUCGCCUGUGACGAAGCGUGAGUGACGGUAAUGGGUAAAGAAGCACCGGCUAACUACGU